AUGGCUGUUAGAUCAUGGUCAACUCGGUCCUCUGGUUUGUUUUGUCCGUUCGAUCUUCACCUGGCACUAAUUUCUUUUUUACCCCACGGUGCUUUUCUUUGCCCAAUGACCGGUGGGUUCGUCUCGCAAGUGCAUUGGCUGGGUGAGGUCCGCCCAUGUGCGAUUGGGAUUUUUCCAGUCCGCUCCUCGCGCGCGACGUGCGUCGUGGGACCGACCAUCCCCGAGCCCGCGCCCCUCCUUCCUCCUCUCUCCCUCGUCAGCCGCCACAGCAAGAACCAUAGCCCCCUUCCCCAUUGCCGCCGCCCCUCCCGCAUUUGUUCUCUCCUUCCUCUCUCCGUUGUCAGCCGCCGCUACAACUCCUCCCUUCCCCAUCUUUGUCCGUGCAGCCGACCAAAUUAG
RNAcentral lists this ribosomal RNA (399 nucleotides) under Triticum aestivum (bread wheat). RNAcentral describes it as "partial small subunit ribosomal RNA". Lineage: Eukaryota; Viridiplantae; Streptophyta; Magnoliopsida; Poales; Poaceae. The record is from RNAcentral.